This 465-nucleotide ribosomal RNA is filed under the name uncultured bacterium. RNAcentral's name for it is "partial 16S ribosomal RNA". It matches the Rfam family "Bacterial small subunit ribosomal RNA", at positions 29 to 507 of the family's 1533-position model. The record is from RNAcentral.
AUGAACGCUGGCGGCGUGCUUAACCCAUGCAAGUCGAACGAUGAAGCCCAGCUUGCUGGGUGGAUUAGUGGCGAACGGGUGAGUAACACGUGAGUAACCUGCCCUUAACUCUGGGAUAAGCCUGGGAAACUGGGUCUAAUACCGGAUAGGAGCGCCUACCGCAUGGUGGGUGUUGGAAAGAUUUAUCGGUUUUGGAUGGACUCGCGGCCUAUCAGCUUGUUGGUGAGGUAAUGGCUCACCAAGGCGACGACGGGUAGCCGGCCUGAGAGGGUGACCGGCCACACUGGGACUGAGACACGGCCCAGACUCCUACGGGAGGCAGCAGUGGGGAAUAUUGCACAAUGGGCGAAAGCCUGAUGCAGCGACGCCGCGUGAGGGAUGACGGCCUUCGGGUUGUAAACCUCUUUCAGUAGGGAAGAAGCGAAAGUGACGGUACCUGCAGAAGAAGCACCGGCUAACUACGUG